This is a non-coding RNA of Caenorhabditis elegans, 215 nucleotides long. Lineage: Eukaryota; Metazoa; Nematoda; Chromadorea; Rhabditida; Rhabditidae. The record is from Ensembl.
GUGAAAAAGAUCGAGAGAAGGCAAAAUAAGACCGAAAGGAAAUGAAAAAAGAGGAGGAAAGCAGGGACGGACGGGGCAACGAGAUGCUCACGUUGAGAUGAGGGUCUCGAAUUCAAUUUAUUGAAUCGCGCAGAAGCAGAAGCAAAAAAAGUUGUUGACUAAACAAGUAACCGCAAGUUUUUGAGAGGGCGAAAAAUAGGAAGAAAAACGAAGAU